This 460-nucleotide ribosomal RNA is filed under the name uncultured bacterium. RNAcentral's name for it is "partial 16S ribosomal RNA". It matches the Rfam family "Bacterial small subunit ribosomal RNA", at positions 338 to 795 of the family's 1533-position model. The record is from RNAcentral.
CCUACGGGACGCAGCAGUGAGGAAUAUUGGUCAAUGGGCUUACGCCUGAACCAGCCAAGUCGCGUGAGGGAAGACUGCCCUAUGGGUUGUAAACCUCUUUUGUCAGGGAGCAAUUGGCGCUACGUGUAGCGUUAUCGAGAGUACCUGAAGAAAAAGCAUCGGCUAACUCCGUGCCAGCAGCCGCGGUCAUACGGAGGAUGCGCGCGUUAUCCGGAUUGAUUGGGUUUAACGGGUGCGUAGGCGGAAUGCCAAGUCAGCGGUAAAAUCGCGGGGCUCAACCUCGCUCCGACGUUGAAACUGGCGUUCUUGAGGGGGCGAGAAGUAUGCGGAAUGCGUGGUGUAGCGGUGAAAUGCAUAGAUAUCACGCAGAACUCCGAUUGCGAAGGCAGCAUACCGGCGCCCAACUGACGCUGAAGCACGAAAGCGUGGGUAUCGAACAGGAGUAGAUACCCUAGUAGUC